GACGAACGCUGGCGGCGUGCUUAACACACGCAAGUCGAACGAUGAAGCCCAGCUUGCUGGGUGGAAGAGUGGCGAACGGGUGAGUAACACGUGAGCAACCUGCCCUUCACUCUGGGAUAAGCACUGGAAACGGUGUCUAAUACUGGAUAUGCACAAUGGCCGCAUGGUCUGUUGUGGGAAAGAUUUAUCGGGGAAGGAUGGGCUCGCGGCCUAUCAGCUUGUUGGUGAGGUAGUGGCUCACCAAGGCGACGACGGGUAGCCGGCCUGAGAGGGUGACCGGCCACACUGGGACUGAGACACGGCCCAGACUCCUACGGGAGGCAGCAGUGGGGAAUAUUGCACAAUGGGCGCAAGCCUGAUGCAGCAACGCCGCGUGAGGGAUGACGGCCUUCGGGUUGUAAACCUCUUUUAGUAGGGAAGAAGCGAAAGUGACGGCACCUGCAGAAAAAGCACCGGCUAACUACGUGCCAGCAGCCGCAGUAA
RNAcentral lists this ribosomal RNA (483 nucleotides) under uncultured bacterium. RNAcentral's name for it is "partial 16S ribosomal RNA". It matches the Rfam family "Bacterial small subunit ribosomal RNA", at positions 28 to 523 of the family's 1533-position model. The record is from RNAcentral.